This 304-nucleotide ribosomal RNA is filed under the name uncultured bacterium. Its description in RNAcentral is "partial 16S ribosomal RNA". It matches the Rfam family "Bacterial small subunit ribosomal RNA", at positions 506 to 809 of the family's 1533-position model. The record is from RNAcentral.
CAGCAGUCGCCACGGUAAUACGGAGGGUGCAAGCGUUAAUCGGAAUUACUGGGCGUAAAGCGCACGCAGGCGGUCUGACAAGUCAGAUGUGAAAUCCCCGGGCUUAACCUGGGAACUGCAUUUGAAACUGUCAGGCUGGAGUCUUGUAGAGGGGGGUGGAAUUCCAGGUGUAGCGGUGAAAUGCGUAGAGAUCUGGAGGAAUACCGGUGGCGAAGGCGGCCCCCUGGACAAAGACUGACGCUCAGGUGCGAAAGCGUGGGGAGCAAACAGGAUUAGAUACCCCAGUAGUCCCUGUCUCUUAUUA